AUUGAACGCUGGCGGCAGGCCUAACACAUGCAAGUCGAGCGGAUGAAGGGAGCUUGCUCCUGGAUUCAGCGGCGGACGGGUGAGUAAUGCCUAGGAAUCUGCCUGGUAGUGGGGGAUAACGUCCGGAAACGGGCGCUAAUACCGCAUACGUCCUGAGGGAGAAAGUGUGGGAUCUUCGGACCUCACGCUAUCAGAUGAGCCUAGGUCGGAUUAGCUAGUUUGUGGGGUAAAGGCCUAUCAAGGCGACGAUCCGUAACUGGUCUGAGAGGAUGAUCAGUCACACUGGAACUGAGACACGGUCCAGACUCCUACGGGAGGCAGCAGUGGGGAAUAUUGGACAAUGGGCGAAAGCCUGAUCCAGCCAUGCCGCGUGUGUGAAGAAGGUCUUCGGAUUGUAAAGCACUUUAAGUUGGGAGGAAGGGCAGUAAGUUAAUACCUUGCUGUUUUGACGUUACCAACAGAAUAAGCACCGGCUAACUUCGUG
Molecule: ribosomal RNA, 484 nt
Filed under: uncultured bacterium
Lineage: Bacteria
Description: partial 16S ribosomal RNA
Rfam family: Bacterial small subunit ribosomal RNA
Source: RNAcentral